AACGUAGGAGGCGAGCGUUAUCCGGAUUUACUGGGCGUAAAGCGCACGCAGGCGGCUUCGUUAGUCGGAUGUGAAAGCUCCUGGCUUAACUGGGAGAGGCCAUUCGAUACUGCGGGGCUUGAGGUUGGGAGAGGGGUGUGGAAUUCCCGGUGUAGUGGUGGAAUGCGUAGAUAUCGGGAGGAACACCAGUGGCGAAGGCGGCACCCUGGCCCACACCUGACGCUGAGGUGCGAAAGCGUGGGUAGCAAACAGG
This 253-nucleotide ribosomal RNA is filed under the name uncultured bacterium. RNAcentral describes it as "partial 16S ribosomal RNA". It matches the Rfam family "Bacterial small subunit ribosomal RNA", at positions 524 to 776 of the family's 1533-position model. The record is from RNAcentral.